GCGCCCGUAGCUCAGAUGGAUAGAGCGUUUGACUCCGACUCAAAAGGCCGCUGGUUCGAGUCCAGUCGGGCGUACCA
This 77-nucleotide transfer RNA is filed under the name Oscillospiraceae bacterium. RNAcentral describes it as "tRNA-Arg". It matches the Rfam family "tRNA". From Rfam's summary of the family: Transfer RNA (tRNA) molecules are approximately 80 nucleotides in length. Their secondary structure includes four short double-helical elements and three loops (D, anti-codon, and T loops). Further hydrogen bonds mediate the characteristic L-shaped molecular structure. tRNAs have two regions of fundamental functional importance: the anti-codon, which is responsible for specific mRNA codon recognition, and the 3' end, to which the tRNAs corresponding amino acid is attached (by aminoacyl-tRNA synthetases). tRNAs cope with the degeneracy of the genetic code in two manners: having more than one tRNA (with a specific anti-codon) for a particular amino acid; and 'wobble' base-pairing, i.e. permitting non-standard base-pairing at the 3rd anti-codon position. Lineage: Bacteria; Bacillati; Bacillota; Clostridia; Eubacteriales; Oscillospiraceae. The record is from RNAcentral.